This 72-nucleotide transfer RNA is filed under the name Candida buenavistaensis. Its description in RNAcentral is "tRNA-Asp". It matches the Rfam family "tRNA". From Rfam's summary of the family: Transfer RNA (tRNA) molecules are approximately 80 nucleotides in length. Their secondary structure includes four short double-helical elements and three loops (D, anti-codon, and T loops). Further hydrogen bonds mediate the characteristic L-shaped molecular structure. tRNAs have two regions of fundamental functional importance: the anti-codon, which is responsible for specific mRNA codon recognition, and the 3' end, to which the tRNAs corresponding amino acid is attached (by aminoacyl-tRNA synthetases). tRNAs cope with the degeneracy of the genetic code in two manners: having more than one tRNA (with a specific anti-codon) for a particular amino acid; and 'wobble' base-pairing, i.e. permitting non-standard base-pairing at the 3rd anti-codon position. The record is from RNAcentral. Lineage: Eukaryota; Fungi; Ascomycota; Pichiomycetes; Serinales; Debaryomycetaceae.
GCAUUACUAGCUUAAUGGUAAAGCCUCUCAAUGUCACUGAGAGAAAUGUCAGUUCGAAUCUGAUGUAAUGCG